RNAcentral lists this ribosomal RNA (459 nucleotides) under uncultured bacterium. Its description in RNAcentral is "partial 16S ribosomal RNA". It matches the Rfam family "Bacterial small subunit ribosomal RNA", at positions 338 to 795 of the family's 1533-position model. The record is from RNAcentral.
CCUACGGGAGGCAGCAGUGAGGAAUAUUGGUCAAUGGCCGGAAGGCUGAACCAGCCAUGCCGCGUGAAGGUCAGUGCCCUAUGGGCGUUAAACUUCUUUUGUCAGGGAGCAAUUGAGUCCACGUGUGGUCUUAGCGAGAGUACCUGAAGAAAAAGCAUCGGCUAACUCCGUGCCAGCAGCCGCGGUAAUACGGAGGAUGCGAGCGUUAUCCGGAUUUAUUGGGUUUAAAGGGUGCGUAGGCGGAAUAUCAAGUCAGCGGUAAAAAUUCGGGGCUCAACCCCGUCGUGCCGUUGAAACUGAUGUGCUUGAGUGGGCGAGAAGUACGCGGAAUGCGUGGUGUAGCGGUGAAAUGCAUAGAUAUCACGCAGAACUCCGAUUGCGAAGGCAGCAUACCGGCGCCCAACUGACGCUGAAGCACGAAAGCGUGGGUAUCGAACAGGAUUAGAUACCCCUGUAGUC